GGAGUCGGCCGGGCAGUCGCCGGGGUAAGCCCUGGAGGAAAGUCCGGGCUCCAUUGGGCAGGGUGCCAGGUAACACCUGGGGGGCGUGAGCCUAUGGAAAGUGCCACAGAAAAUAUACCGCCAGUCUGGUGACUGGUAAGGGUGAAAUGGUGCGGUAAGAGCGCACCGCACAGGUGGUAACACCUGUGGCAUGGCAAACCCCACCCGGAGCAAGACCGAAUAGAGGAGCGCAAGAGUGUGCCCACACGAGUUCCCGGGUAGGUUGCUAGAGGUAUGCGGUGACGCUAACCCAAGAUGAAUGACUGCUCUCGACAGAACCCGGCUUAUAGGCCGACUCCUAUU
RNAcentral lists this RNase P RNA (342 nucleotides) under Rhodospirillaceae bacterium. Its description in RNAcentral is "RNase P RNA component class A". It matches the Rfam family "Bacterial RNase P class A". From Rfam's summary of the family: Ribonuclease P (RNase P) is a ubiquitous endoribonuclease, found in archaea, bacteria and eukarya as well as chloroplasts and mitochondria. Its best characterised activity is the generation of mature 5'-ends of tRNAs by cleaving the 5'-leader elements of precursor-tRNAs. The record is from RNAcentral. Lineage: Bacteria; Pseudomonadati; Pseudomonadota; Alphaproteobacteria; Rhodospirillales; Rhodospirillaceae.